This 243-nucleotide ribosomal RNA is filed under the name uncultured bacterium. Its description in RNAcentral is "partial 16S ribosomal RNA". It matches the Rfam family "Bacterial small subunit ribosomal RNA", at positions 355 to 591 of the family's 1533-position model. The record is from RNAcentral.
UAGGGAAUCUUCCACAAUGGACGCAAGUCUGAUGGAGCAACGCCGCGUGAGUGAAGAAGGCUUUCGGGUCGUAAAACUCUGUUAUUGAAGAAGAACGUGCGUGACAGUAACUGGUCAUGCAGUGACGGUAUUCAAUCAGAAAGUCACGGCUAACUACGUGCCAGCAGCCGCGGUAAUACGUAGGUGGCAAGCGUUGUCCGGAUUUAUUGGGCGUAAAGCGAGUGCAGGCGGUCUUUAAGUCUG